AGGAUGAACGCGUGGCGGCGUGCUUAACACAUGCAAGUCGAACGAACCUUCGGGUUAGUGGCGGACGGGUGAGUAACGCGUGGGAAUCUGCCCUCAGGAGGGGGAUAACGACUGGAAACGGCCGCUAAUACCCCAUAUGCCGAGAGGUGAAAUGAAUUUCGCCUGAGGAUGAGCCCGCGUCUGAUUAGCUAGUUGGUGAGGUAAGAGCUCACCAAGGCAUCGAUCAGUAGCCGGUCUGAGAGGAUGAUCAGCCACACUGGGACUGAGACACGGCCCAGACUCCUACGGGAGGCAGCAGUGGGGAAUUUUUCGCAAUGGGCGAAAGCCUGACGGAGCAACGCCGCGUGAGGGAUGAAGGCCUCUGGGCUGUAAACCUCUUUUCUCAAGGAAGAAGAUCUGACGGUACUUGAGGAAUAAGCCACGGCUAAUUCCGUGCCAGCAGCCGCGGUAAUACGGGAGUGGCAAGCGUUAUCCGGAAUUAUUGGGCGUAAAGCGUCCGCAGGCGGCCUUUCAAGUCUGCUGUUAAAACGUGGAGCCUCACUCCAUCAUGGCAGUGGAAACUGUUGGGCUUGAGUGUGGUAGGAGCAGAGGGAAUUCCCGGUGUAGCGGUGAAAUGCGUAGAUAUCGGGAAGAACACCAGUGGCGAAGGCGCUCUGCUGGGCCAUAACUGACGCUCAUGGACGAAAGCCAGGGGAGCGAAAGGGAUUAGAUACCCCUGUAGUCCUGGCCGUAAACGAUGAACACUAGGUGUCGGGGGAAUCGACCCCCUCGGUGUCGUAGCCAACGCGUUAAGUGUUCCGCCUGGGGAGUACGCACGCAAGUGUGAAACUCAAAGGAAUUGACGGGGGCCCGCACAAGCGGUGGAGUAUGUGGUUUAAUUCGAUGCAACGCGAAGAACCUUACCAGGGUUUGACAUCCUGCGAAUCUCUUGGAAACGAGAGAGUGCCCUCGGGAACGCAGUGACAGGUGGUGCAUGGCUGUCGUCAGCUCGUGUCGUGAGAUGUUGGGUUAAGUCCCGCAACGAGCGCAACCCACGUCUUUAGUUGCCAGCAUUUAGUUGGGCACUUUAGAGAGACCGCCGGUGAUAAACCGGAGGAAGGUGUGGAUGACGUCAAGUCAUCAUGCCCCUUACAUCCUGGGCUACACACGUACUACAAUGCUACGGACAAAGAGCAGCAAGUUCGCGAGGACAAGCAAAUCUCAUAAAUCGUGGCUCAGUUCAGAUCGUAGGCUGCAACUCGCCUACGUGAAGGAGGAAUCGCUAGUAAUCGCAGGUCAGCAUACUGCGGUGAAUACGUUCCCGGGCCUUGUACACACCGCCCGUCACACCAUGGAAGUUGGCCACGCCCGAAGCCGUUACUCCAACCCUUGUGGAGGAGGACGUCGAAGGUGGGGCUGAUGACUGGGGUGAA
RNAcentral lists this ribosomal RNA (1412 nucleotides) under uncultured bacterium. RNAcentral describes it as "16S ribosomal RNA". It matches the Rfam family "Bacterial small subunit ribosomal RNA". The record is from RNAcentral.